Molecule: transfer RNA, 64 nt
Filed under: Perlomyia isobeae
Lineage: Eukaryota; Metazoa; Arthropoda; Insecta; Plecoptera; Leuctridae
Description: tRNA-Arg
Source: RNAcentral
GAAUAAGAAGCGAUUAAUUGCAAUCAGUUUCGACCUGAUCUUAGGUACUCUUUACCCUUAUUCU